CGUCGGACCUUUUAAGGAGUAAGGCUGGGGGCGGGGUGUUACAUGGCCGAUAUACAAAGGCAAGGAACAAUAAAUACGUCGGUGAUGAUAUACGGUCUGAUGUAGUAUGGCUUUCAGCAUACGGUAUUUCAACCACGCUUUUUAUAGAAGUUUAAUGUGCCAGUAAGUGUUACUGUUUGUUUUAAAUAGACAUUUAAGAUUUGGGCGACAGUGCCACCUCGCGGACUUGCGAUAUUGUCACAGUUUCAGCCCUUGAAGUCGGUACAGGUCUAGGACCUGUAUAACAACCGAAAAUCCACGCAGCUGAAAAAGCAUUUGACACUAAGUUGUACAAAUUCAAAGUGAUGCACGGAAAAUGCGUUUUGUUUUCAAAUUGUCCGACAAAUUCCCAUAGACACUGAGUUGAAUUUUGUUUCGUUGCUACGCCGAAACUGUAAGUUAUUCUUCAUUAUACGCACGCCCAUUUUUCAGCCAAUGUGUUAACAAUAGUGAUUCCGAAUUUUAAAAGUGGAUUGAUGUACUCUUGACAGGGGUCCCCUCAACAAAAGCUCUCUAUAAGGUCUUAGAAAGACGAGAGUGAUAUUAUGUCAUAACUGUUGCAAGUAACCUACACUACGCCUACGGCCUGAUAGGGAGUCUCUAGGUAUCCAUUCUUGUGUGGCUCAAAUUCUCGAGAAUCCGCAAGGUCCUGCGCACGUGGGUAUAGUGACAGCUGGUGCUACCACCUUGCCUUCCGGCAGCAGCAAAUCAAAAUGUAUUUUUCACAUUCCUUAUUAACAGGUGGCCAUACAGUAAAAUGCUUGCGUUAAAAAAAAAACGGUAAAAACCGGCAUGUGUGACCUCUUACCGAUUGGCUGAAAGUUAUGCUAAAUAAGACCAUAUAUCAGCCCCCCCCCCCAAAAAAACCCAAAACGUUCAUUGUUCUAAUUGGUUGAUAACCAACAGCAAUAAGACCUCUUAUAUGGCCAAUAUUCCACGUUUUAACACAAUUUCAUUAUCUUUGUUUUUUCAAUUCUGGUAAAAUUAGACUUUAAUGACAAAAGGAUUUUUCACCUCAGUUCUGGGAUUAAAUCUGGCGACUUUUCAGUCAUUGGUCACAUUAUCUCACAUCUGGGAUACCUGCACCUUGAUAUAUGUGUAUAUGUAUAUAUAUUAAUAAAUUUUAGUCCAGGACCAGGUUCGAGGUGUUUGUGAAACUGGCCGUUGGUGUCGAAUUCUGAAGACCUGCUGCAGUGGCAGCGCACGUUUCUGUCCCAGGCCAGCACUGUCAUUACCUUAUUGUUUAAGCUGUGGUUAGUGGCAGACCCAGCUCCCUCCUGGACAUGUUAUGGAGAACACUACAUACAGAUGUCUUUAAAUGUGAUCUGUGCGAACGCCGACAUGGACUUGCAACUCUUCAGUGAUGAAGGAACUGAUCCGGGACCUGCCGUCUUCCCACAGGUCUGUGAGGGUUCCAUUGGUGCUGUCCAGUCAUGAGAAGGGAACAACUGCCAGAGUGGAGGGACCCUUGAAGGCCCUGACAGAGGACCUGUUUCGACGGGCCGAUGCCAGUCUCAGUCACCCCGCGGUUAGACCUGCUGAUGACCAGAAAGAGUUCAGCAUCAGGAUCAUGGGCCCUUCAACAUCCAGUCAUUUGUUAUGGGAGUCAGUGAAUUAGUUUGAAUAGGACAUUUACUCUUUCCGCCAUUGUGGAAUGGUGGCUAUUGCGAGUGUAUUCAUUGGAGAAGGAAGUGAAGCCAUUAGGGCUGUGAUGAAUCAUCUCAAAUGAUGUGAACAGAAAAUUAGCACUUUUUGCAUCUGCCAUAUUGUUUGCAUUGUGUGAAGUUGUUCAAAGGAUGUUUCUGUGACAACUGAAUAAUACUGAACUUGCUAUCUGCUGUCCCUCCAAGGAAGCAAUGGGAUUUUCAGUUUCCUCAAGGACUGUGUCACUGAGACAGCACCAGGGGGUGCUGUUGUUCACCACUAAUUAUUUGGUCCUUGAAAUAAGUUAAAAAUGGAAUACUUCAUAGAAUCUCCGAUUUGAUUUGGUUGUUAACACAACACUGGACUCGUAAUGAUUAUGAUGGCCGGCUAGUAUCUAGAAACUACAGCAAAUUGUUUGAUUAUUACAUUUCUGUUAACUGUUUGUUUUUGUUGGCAGUGUUCCUAAAUUUCCAAAUGAAACCCGCCCCUUAAUUAAUAAUAAGCUCAUAAUAAAUACCUAAAAAAUCUUCCAAAUAGAAGAUGCUGCCCAAGUACUUAGAUACAUGUAACUCUGCAUUCAGUAAAACGAUGUUAGUCAGUUAAUAAAUUUUGUUUUGGUAUUUUUAGUGUUGAAGUUACUAAAUGAAGCAGGGAAUUGUUAUUUCUAAGGAAAAGCAGGACAAAAUAAAUGACCCUGAAAGUGAUGUAUUAAACCUGUUGUAUGAAUAAUUUUUCUCUCUGCAGGGGGCACUAGCUCCCC
Esox lucius (northern pike) is the source of this 2443-nucleotide long non-coding RNA. NCBI's taxonomy places the organism in Eukaryota, Metazoa, Chordata, Actinopteri, Esociformes, Esocidae. The record is from Ensembl.